GUGGGGAAUAUUGGACAAUGGGCGAAAGCCUGAUCCAGCCAUGCCGCGUGUGUGAAGAAGGUCUUCGGAUUGUAAAGCACUUUAAGUUGGGAGGAAGGGCAUUAACCUAAUACGUUAGUGUUUUGACGUUACCGACAGAAUAAGCACCGGCUAACUUCGUGCCAGCAGCCGCGGUAAUACGAAGGGUGCAAGCGUUAAUCGGAAUUACUGGGCGUAAAGCGCGCGUAGGUGGUUUUGUAAGUUGGAGGUGAAAUCCCCGGGCUCAACCGGGGAACUGCCUCCAAAACUGCAUGACUAGAGUACGGUAGAGGGUAGUGGAAUUUCCUGUGUAGCGGUGAAAUGCGUAGAUAUAGGAAGGAACACCAGUGGCGAAGGCGACUACCUGGACUGAUACUGACACUGAGGUGCGAAAGCGUGGGGAGCAAACAGGAUUAGAUACCCCGGUAGUCC
RNAcentral lists this ribosomal RNA (450 nucleotides) under uncultured bacterium. Its description in RNAcentral is "partial 16S ribosomal RNA". It matches the Rfam family "Bacterial small subunit ribosomal RNA", at positions 354 to 796 of the family's 1533-position model. The record is from RNAcentral.